Molecule: long non-coding RNA, 1530 nt
Organism: Passer domesticus (house sparrow)
Lineage: Eukaryota; Metazoa; Chordata; Aves; Passeriformes; Passeridae
Exons: 3
Source: RefSeq, a predicted model, not a curated record
UUGAGUAUGUUUGGUCUUUCCCUGUCUGGCUGGAAUGGCAGUUUGAAGAUGUUUAGUCUAUGUUUGCCUCCUGUCUAGCCAGGGCACUUGCAGUGGUUUUUUCCCCUAGCCUGGUAAGUUCCCUGUCAGUUCCGGGUUUCUCUCUUUGCUAUGGGUUUAUGCCUUUCCCAUCUUAGCUUCUGACCUAACCCCCACCCCGAUUUCCCGCUCUCUCUUACGCAAAAGCCGCUGUUUUCUCUGCCUCCCGGCUCUGUGCCACUGUCUGCCCUUCCAGCUGCACGGCUCCCGCGCUCUGCCGGAUCCCGUGCCCCGCCGGCUCCCCCUCCGCAGCCGGCACCCCUCUCCGCCCGGGAAAGGAGGUCACCCCGCGGGGCAUCGGCCGCCUGGCUCCUGCCCGCGCCGCCGGCACCGCUGAGCCUCCUGUGAGCCACGGCUCCUGGCGAGAGGGGGAUCGCUCACACGAGCACCGCUGCUGCCAGCGCCGUGAGGAGAGAGACUGUCCCCGCCGCCAGGAGAGAGACUGUCCCUGCCGUGAGGAGAGAGACUGUCCCCGCCGUGAGGAGAGAGACUGUCCCCGCCGUGAGGACAGAGACUGUCCCCGCCGUGAGGAGAGAGACUGUCCCCGCCGUGAGGAGAGAGACUGUCCCCGCCACCAGGACAGAGACUGUCACCGCCGCGCUGCCGCUGCCUGCGAGUGCUGCACCAUCUUCUCACGCCGGCGCUGCUGCCACCGCAGCAAAGAACAGCUCCUGUGCCACGCUGCCGAUUCCAAGCAGCGCCAUCCUGGCGCGGGACAGAAAUAAAGCGGCUCGGAGAAGCCAGCACGGGGUCGUUCCUUAUUUCCUUUACAAUGAAUCUCAGAGGCUGAGCCCGCGUUUCAGCAGCCGAAGCGUGACCCUGCCGGCCGGCGGCAGAGGUCGGGCACGGCCGCUCCUGGGCCUGCCCCGAUCGCCUGCAGGGAUUGGGGCACGCUGGUGCACACCUCAGCUGUCUGCAGGGCGCACGGACGCUGCUGCCAAGUGAAGUUCGUGCUCCGUCAAGCGCUGCCGGUGAAUUCGCACACUUUCUGCUUGCUGCAGCUCCCGGGAAAGUCAACCCCCUCCGUUCCAGACGUGAGAGGAGUUUUCCCCUGGUUCAAGGACUACCUCCGAGAUUUUCGUUUCAAGAAUCUUGGGUUUCAGUCCCGACACAGUUUGGCACUGGUGGGCCAAAGAGUCAGAACAACUCACACCAGAAUCCAGCCAGGCAAUCACCUGUGGUAAACAAUCUCCAAACACAUUCCACACGUGAGCACAGCACAGGAGAAGCCAAUGAGCAAUUAAAAUAAUUACACUCUGUCAAGCUACAUCUUUUCACCCUGAUUAAAGACAGAGCUGUAUGGAGCAAACACAUCAACUUGUCUGCUGACAGGUGAAAGAAGAAUGCAGAGCAUGUCUGAAACCAUACUGAUAACUUCCCAUUGAGUAGUACACAGGCUAAGAAUUCAUCCUGUAUGCUUCUUCUAGAAAAUAAACACUUUAUUAAGAAAAU